GGGCGACUAGCUCAGCUGGUUAGAGCGCUACACUGAUAAUGUAGAGGUCGCAAGUUCAAGUCUUGCGUCGCCCACCA
This 77-nucleotide transfer RNA is filed under the name Candidatus Peregrinibacteria bacterium CG10_big_fil_rev_8_21_14_0_10_42_8. RNAcentral's name for it is "tRNA-Ile". It matches the Rfam family "tRNA". From Rfam's summary of the family: Transfer RNA (tRNA) molecules are approximately 80 nucleotides in length. Their secondary structure includes four short double-helical elements and three loops (D, anti-codon, and T loops). The record is from RNAcentral. Lineage: Bacteria; Candidatus Peregrinibacteriota.